GACAGAGGGUGCAAGCGUUGCUCGGAAUCACUGGGCGUAAAGGGCGCGUAGGCGGGAUGGCAAGUCGGUCGUGAAAUCUCUCGGCUCAACCGAGAAACGUCGGCCGAUACUGCCGUUCUUGAGGGAUGCAGAGGAGACUGGAAUUCCCGGUGUAGCGGUGAAAUGUGUAGAGAUCGGGAGGAACACCGGUGGCGAAGGCGGGUCUCUGGGCAGCUCCUGACGCUGAGGCGCGAAAGCGUGGGGAGCAAACGGG
RNAcentral lists this ribosomal RNA (253 nucleotides) under uncultured bacterium. RNAcentral's name for it is "partial 16S ribosomal RNA". It matches the Rfam family "Bacterial small subunit ribosomal RNA", at positions 524 to 776 of the family's 1533-position model. The record is from RNAcentral.